GACGAACGCUGGCGGCGUGCUUAACACAUGCAAGUCGAACGGAAAGGCCCUGCUUUUGUGGGGUGCUCGAGUGGCGAACGGGUGAGUAACACGUGAGUAACCUGCCCUUGACUUUGGGAUAACUUCAGGAAACUGGGGCUAAUACCGGAUAGGAGCUCCUGCUGCAUGGUGGGGGUUGGAAAGUUUCGGCGGUUGGGGAUGGACUCGCGGCCUAUCAGCUUGUUGGUGGGGUAGUGGCUUACCAAGGCUUUGACGGGUAGCCGGCCUGAGAGGGUGACCGGCCACAUUGGGACUGAGAUACGGCCCAGACUCCUACGGGAGGCAGCAGUGGGGAAUAUUGCACAAUGGGCGGAAGCCUGAUGCAGCAACGCCGCGUGCGGGAUGACGGCCUUCGGGUUGUAAACCGCUUUCGCCUGUGACGAAGCGUGAGUGACGGUAACGGGUAAAGAAGCACCGGCUAACUACGUG
RNAcentral lists this ribosomal RNA (468 nucleotides) under uncultured bacterium. RNAcentral's name for it is "partial 16S ribosomal RNA". It matches the Rfam family "Bacterial small subunit ribosomal RNA", at positions 28 to 507 of the family's 1533-position model. The record is from RNAcentral.